UUCAGCUAUUUGGUGAUCAUGGUCAUACAUGCCCUCAAUGUGGUCAGAUCAAUGUCAAGGUUGGGAACAACAAUCACAUAUUUUGCUGGGCUUGUCAAAGCCACUACUGUUACUUGUGUAGAAAGAUUGUUAGGCGCGACUCACAACACUUUGGUCCAAAGGGUUGCAAACAACACACCGUCGGAUAGCGAUAACGAAGUUACACCGAUUCAUUCUUUUGUUUUCUAGAUUUUGUGUUGUUUGUUAUUUGUUAAUCUAGCUUUGAUACUCUGAGGUGAAAGUGCGAAACAAGGAUCGAGUGAAUGUUUGUUACAUUACAUUACAUUAGUACUGUUGGAUCACAUGAUUUAUUAUAAA
Helianthus annuus (common sunflower) is the source of this 357-nucleotide long non-coding RNA. RefSeq lists it as uncharacterized. The record is from RefSeq and is a predicted model, not a curated record. Lineage: Eukaryota; Viridiplantae; Streptophyta; Magnoliopsida; Asterales; Asteraceae. The transcript is spliced from 2 exons.